CACCAGGUUGAUUCUGCCUGACGUGGAUGCUAGUCUCAUAGAUUUAGCCAUGCAUGUGUAAGCGAAGCGAUUAGUGAAGCGGCGGAAGGCUCAGUAACGGGCGAGUAUUUUAAUCUCUAGAACCGGACAACCUCAGGAAACAGAGGGGAAAACGGAGUAAGAGCAUGUGUUGUUAGCAUGUGAUGAGAACAACAGUGCAGGAGAGUAAGAAGCCAUCCCAUCAGUUAGUAAGUAGGGUAAGGGCCUAUUUAGACGUAGACGGGUACGGGGGAUUAGGGUUUGAUUCCGGAGAGGGAGCCUGAGAGACGGCUACCAGGUCCAAGGACAGCAGCAGGCGCGAAAAUUACCGAAGCCUCCAAGAGGGCGGUAGUGAAGAGACGUGAAAACAAGUGUGUGUAAAAACCACAUGAGUAACUGUGGAGGGUCAAGGCUGGUGCCAGCAUCCGCGGUAAUACCAGCUCCAGGAGUGUCUAUGAUGAUUGCUGCGAUUAAAAGGUCCGUAGUCGAAGAACAGUACUUGUUUGUAAUGUGGCUUAUCGAGAGCCGAAUAGAACGAGAAGAGUUCAGAGUAAGGAGYGAAGGAGGGCUAGAUUAUUGAGCAGCGAGAGGUGAAAUUUGAUGACCUGCUUUAGGAGUAACAGAGGCGAAAGCGCUAGUCAAGAACGAAUCCGAUGAUCAAGGACGUAGGCUGGAGGAUCGAAGACGAUUAGAGAGACCGUAGUAGUUCCAGCAGUAAACGAUGCCUACGCUGUUGUGGUUAUGAGCACGGCAGAAGAGAAAUCUAGUAGGGCUUUGGGGAGAGUACGCGCGCAAGCGAUAAAUUUAAAGGAAAUUGACGGAAGAACACCACAAGGAGUGGAGUGUGCGGCUUAAUUUGACUCAACGCGGGACAGCUUACCAUACCCGAUGGCCGUGUGAGCGUAGUACGCGAUAGGUCAGAGAGUGGUGCAUGGCCGUUAACGACGAGUGGGGUGACCUUUGGGUUAAGUCCGCCGAAGUAGUGAGAUCCCUAGGAUACGAAAGUUAUCGACAGGUGUUAAAAACACAGGAAGGAAGGGGCAAGAACAGGGUCAGUGAUGCCCUUAGAUGGUAUGGGCUGCACGCGCACUACAGUGGUCACAGCAGAAACGGAUAGAAGUAAAUGUGAUCGAGAGGGAAUGAGCACUGUAAUGUGCACAGGAACGAGGAAUUGCUAGUAAUCGUUAUCUCAUUAAGAAGCGAUGAAUGUGUCCCUGUUCUUUGUACACACCGCCCGUCGUUAUCGAAGAUGGAACCAGGUGCGAACAAGUGAAAGCGAGUGAGUGCAGGGUUCYAGAUCUGAUACAAGUCGUAACAAGGCAGCUGUAGGAGAACCAUUAGCAGGAAGCUUG
Molecule: non-coding RNA, 1370 nt
Organism: Spraguea lophii
Lineage: Eukaryota; Fungi; Microsporidia; Spragueidae
Source: Rfam